GCAGAAGAAGCAAUGGUCCCUCCAGGGAACGGAAGCCGUUGAACGUGAACAUUUGGAGUUUCCUCUUUUGUGCUGAUUCCUGAGGACUAGGAAGGUGCCCCGAAAAGAAUUCAGAGACCUGACAAUGUCCCUGUAUUGUGGAAUAGCUUGCAGGAGAAAAUUUUUUUGGUGCUAUAGGCUGCUAUCAACCUAUGUUACUAAGACACGGUAUUUAUUUGAACUGAAGGAAGAUGAUGACGCAUGUAAAAAAGCCCAGCAAACAGGAGCGUUUUACCUCUUUCAUAGUCUGGCUCCUCUGCUUCAGACUUCAGCACAUCAAUACCUGGCCCCCCGGCAUAGCCUGUUAGAGUUGGAAAGGCUCCUGGGUAAAUUUGGACAGGAUGCACAAAGAAUAGAAGAUUCUGUGCUGAUUGGAUGCUCUGAGCAGCAGGAAGCAUGGUUUGCUCUGGAUCUAGGUCUGGAUAGCUCCUUUUCCAUAAGUGCCUCCUUACACAAACCUGAAAUGGAGACAGAGCUCAAGGGGUCUUUCAUUGAGCUGAGAAAGGCACUCUUUCAACUCAAUGCAAGGGAUGCCUCCUUGCUGUCCACGGCUCAAGCUCUUCUCCGCUGGCAUGAUGCUCAUCAGUUCUGCAGCAGAAGUGGGCAGCCCACCAAGAAGAACGUGGCUGGCAGCAAGCGUGUGUGCCCUUCCAAUAAUAUCAUCUAUUAUCCACAGAUGGCUCCUGUGGUGAUCACGCUGGUGUCAGAUGGGACCCGAUGCCUGCUUGCCCGCCAAAGCUCCUUUCCCAAGGGAAUGUAUUCUGCCUUGGCAGGUUUUUGUGAUAUAGGUGAAAGUGUGGAAGAGACCAUCCGUCGAGAAGUUGCAGAAGAGGUGGGAUUGGAGGUGGAAAGCCUGCAGUACUAUGCAUCCCAGCAUUGGCCCUUCCCUAGUGGCUCACUCAUGAUUGCUUGCCAUGCAACUGUGAAACCAGGGCAGACAGAAGCUAGCAAUAUGCAUACUGUCUCAUGAUGCUGGAUACACAGUGGCAGCAAGCUGCAGUUGGCAAUGUGAUCACAAAGGCAAUCAACCAAUACUGUACUCUAUAGUAUAUUCAAUAAAUUACAUGACAUAUUCAACAGUUUAUUAUAAAAUAGCCUUUGUGUUAGAUGAUUUUGCCCAACUGUAUGCUAAUGUUUAUCAGGAAGUUACCCCACUGUAAGUCAAGGAACAUCUGUUUUGCCAAAAUGUUCUCCUAAGGGAUACAAUCAAUUUAUAUUCCUAUCAACAAUGUCUGAGAGUGUUUUUCUGUAUAUAUUCUCAACAACCCAGUAUGUAUUAUCAAGCCGUUUGAUACUUGCUAAUAAAUGAUGAAAAACACUAUUGUGAGGAAGAAUCAAUAUCGUAAAAACGGCCAUACUACCCAAGGUAAUUUAUAGAUUCAAUGCCAUCCCCACCAAGCUACCAAUGACUUUCUUCACAGAAUUGGAAAAAAACUACUUUAAAGUUCAUAUGCAACCAAAAAAGAGCCUGCAUUGCCAAGUCAAUCCUAAGCCAAAAGAACAAAGCUGGAGACAUCAUGCUACCUGACUUCAAACUAUACUGCAAGGCUACAGUAACCAAAACAGCAAGGUACUGGUACCAAAACAGAGAUAUAGACUAAUGGAACAGAACGGAGCUCUCAGAAAUAAUGCCACAUAUCUACAACUAUCUGGUCUUUGACAAACCUGACAAAAACAAGAAAUGGGGAAAGGAUUCCCUAUUUAAUAAAUGGUGCUGGAAAAACUGGCUAGCCAUAUGUAGAAAGCUGAAACUGGAUCCCUUCCUUAUACCUUAUACAAAAAUUAAUUCAAGAUGGAUUGAAGACUUAAAUGUUAGACCUAAAACCAUAAAAACCCUAGAAGAAAACCUAGGCAGUACCAUUCAGGACAUAGGCAUCGGCAAGGACUUCAUGUCUAAAACACCAAAAGCAAUGGCAACAAAAGCCAAAAUUGACAAAUGGGAUCUAAUUAAACUCAAGAGCUUCUGCACAGCAAAAGAAACUACCAUCAGGGUGAACAGGCAACCUACAAAAUGGGAGAAAAUUUUUGCAAUCUACUUAUCUAACAAAGGGCUAAUAUCCAGAAUCUACAAAGAACUUAAACAAAUUUACAAGAAAAAAACAAACAACCCCAUCAACAAGUGGGCGAAGGACAUGAACAGACACUUCUCAAAAGAAGACAGUUAUGCAGCCAAAAUGCUCAUCAUCACUCGCCAUCAGAGAAAUGCAAAUCAAAACCACAAUGAGAUGGUAAUCUCACACCAGUUAGAAUGGCGAUCAUUAAAAAGUCAGAGAACAACAGGUGCUGGAGAGGAUGUGGAGAAAUAGGAACACUUUUACACUGUUGGUGGGACUGUAAACUAGUUCAACCAUUGUGGAAGUCAGUGUGGCGAUUCCUCAGGGAUCUAGAACUAGAAAUACCAUUUGACCCAGCCAUCCCAUUACUGGGUAUAUGCCCAAAGGAUUAUAAAUCAUGCUGCUAUAAAGACACAUGCACACGUAUGUUCACUGUGGCACUAUUCACAAUAGCAAAGACUUGGAACCAACCCAAAUGUCCAACAAUGAUAGACUGGAUUAAGAAGAUGUGGCACAUAUACACCAUGGAAUACUAUGCAGCCAUAAAAAAUGAUGAGUUCAUGUCCUUUGUAGGGACAUGGAUGAAGCUGGAAACCAUCACUCUCAGCAAACUAUUGCAAGGACAAAAAACCAAACACCGCAUGUUCUCACUCAUAGGUGGGGAAUUGAACAAUGAGAACACACGGACACAGGAAGGCGAACAUCACACACCGGGGCCUGUUGUGGGGUGGGGGGAGUGGGGAGGGACAGCAUUAGGAGAUAUAUCUAAUAUAAAUGACGAGUUAAUGGGUGCAGCACACCGACAUGGCGCGUGUAUACAUAUGUAACAAACCUGCACGUUGUGCACAUGUACCCUAAAACUUAAAGCACAAUAAUAAAAAGAAAAUCUAGACAUUCCUAUCAAUGUCUAGAUUGUAACAUUUUUGAAAGCAAACAAAAAAAAAAAAAAGAAAAACACUAUUUUGUAGCUU
This is an RNA transcript of Pan troglodytes (chimpanzee), 3064 nucleotides long. It is a transcript of the gene named nudix hydrolase 13, with no coding region annotated. Lineage: Eukaryota; Metazoa; Chordata; Mammalia; Primates; Hominidae. The record is from RefSeq and is a predicted model, not a curated record. The transcript is spliced from 10 exons.